Molecule: non-coding RNA, 834 nt
Organism: Zonotrichia albicollis (white-throated sparrow)
Lineage: Eukaryota; Metazoa; Chordata; Aves; Passeriformes; Passerellidae
Source: RefSeq, a predicted model, not a curated record
UGCUGCCGCUGGUGACUCACGGCACAGCCGCCCAACCUGCGCCAGCCUGCUGGUCCCCACCCACGGGUGCAGCACUGGGGAGGGCUGGCACUGAGCAUUAAUUAGCUGUCUGGGGGUUAAUGAGCAGUAGCACUGUCCCUGGGGAUCCCCUGGGUGGCACAGGCUGGGACAAGGUGCACGAUGAUGGCGACUCCUGCUGUCAGGUGUGACCAGGGUGGGGAUGAGCUCAGGUUUGUGCCACGUGGGAUGAUGAUCCAUGAGAGCAAGGACCAGCUGAGCCCCAGCCCUGCUGCUCACCGGGGUGUGGGGCUGCUGCCUCUUCUGGGGUGAAGCUUGUGGGGUUUCUGGAGACCAUCACUUGGCACAAGGGUUUUGAACCAUCCCUGGGUUGGGAGUUCCCUGCCAGCUUUGCCCAUUCGACCCCAUGCCAAUUACUCAGAGGAAAAUCUGCUUUUAAUGAGUUUUUUCUGGCUUCACUGCUAAUCCCUGUGAGGCCAUGAAUGCCUGUGGGGGCUAUGGGGUGGCUGUGCUGGGAUUAUGAGCGGUACCAAGGCUGGUACCUGACCCCUGCAUGGUGCUUGUGAGGGAUGGGUGUCCCCCAGCUGCAGUGGUGAUGUGUACCUGCAGGUGAAUGGUGUGUGCAUGGAGGGCAAGCAGCACAGUGACGUGGUGGCAGCCAUCAAGGCGAGUGGUGACGAGACCAAGCUGCUGGUGGUGGACAUGCUCACAGAUGAGUUCUUCAAGAAGUGCAAGGUGGUGCCCUCAGAGCAGCACCUGACAGGUCCCUUGCCAGAACCAGUAGCCAAUGGUGAUAUAGGGAAGGAGAACGGGGCC